UUAUAUAUGGUAUAAGUUUUUCGACCAAUUUUGAUAGUUGAGGUAGUAGACGCAUGAACAGGUAUAAACAUACAAUGCAAGGAUCUUUUCCAGUUUUAAUGGAAGUUAUGGGUUGAUAUAUUUAUCAAUUGAAACGCUUAAAUAUAAAUAUCAGCGGGAUUAUUAAUAUUAUAAACUUCAGUACAUUCCAUUACAGUAACAAAAUCAAAUUCUCGUAAUUUCUUAUCUUUAACUUGUUUGUUUUCAUUCCCAAGUCCCCUCACUUCUUGUGGUUGAUAUGAAGAAAUAAAUUUAAUAAUUAUUUAUACAACAAUAACCCUAAAUCUAGUGUAAUAUUUUAGCUAACACGUAACAUACCGUACAAAAUUUUUCUAUUCCAAAGGCAGCUGCUAUCCUAGCUGGAUUGUAAGAAAUUGGUCCUUAUACAAAAACAGGAAACAUAUGAUCAAUAACCAUAAUUAAAAAAAGGAUAAUAGAAUUUAACAAGUAAAAUCAAAGAAUGUUGAAAAUAAGACGAACGUGCCACGAUCGUUAAGAAAAGGAAAUAAAGUCUAUGACACCUGGUUGCUUAAGUAAGGUAAAAAUAUAUUGCGUUGUAAAAACAGGAUUACAAGGCAAUAUGUGCCGUCAAUGUGUAAAUCAUUAAUUUUAAAUUUAAAUAAAAAAGUAAUUGGUGAAAGCGGAGAACUCUAA
This is a long non-coding RNA of Teleopsis dalmanni, 693 nucleotides long. RefSeq lists it as uncharacterized. NCBI's taxonomy places the organism in Eukaryota, Metazoa, Arthropoda, Insecta, Diptera, Diopsidae. The record is from RefSeq and is a predicted model, not a curated record. The transcript has 2 exons.